Molecule: ribosomal RNA, 495 nt
Filed under: uncultured bacterium
Lineage: Bacteria
Description: partial 16S ribosomal RNA
Rfam family: Bacterial small subunit ribosomal RNA
Source: RNAcentral
GAUGAACGCUGGCGGCGUGCUUAACACAUGCAAGUCGAACGAAGCACCUCUCCCGAAGCUUGACACAGCUUGCUGUAGAUUGAUUCAUUUGAGGUGACUGAGUGGCGGACGGGUGAGUAACGCGUGGGUAACCUGCCUCAUAGAGGGGGACAACAGUUGGAAACGACUGCUAAUACCGCAUAGUAAGAAGAAUUCGCAUGUUUUCUUCUUGAAAGAUUUAUCGCUAUGAGAUGGACCCGCGUCUGAUUAGCUAGUUGGUAAGGUAACGGCUUACCAAGGCGACGAUCAGUAGCCGGCUUGAGAGAGUGAACGGCCACAUUGGGACUGAGACACGGCCCAAACUCCUACGGGAGGCAGCAGUGGGGAAUAUUGCACAAUGGGGGAAACCCUGAUGCAGCGACGCCGCGUGAGUGAAGAAGUAUUUCGGUAUGUAAAGCUCUAUCGGCAGGGAAGAUAAUGACGGUACCUGACUAAGAAGCCCCGGCUAACUACGUG